Molecule: ribosomal RNA, 231 nt
Filed under: uncultured bacterium
Lineage: Bacteria
Description: partial 16S ribosomal RNA
Rfam family: Bacterial small subunit ribosomal RNA
Source: RNAcentral
CGGGUGAGUAACGCGUGGAUAACCUGCCUCACACUGGGGGAUAACAGUUAGAAAUGACUGCUAAUACCGCAUAAGCGCACAGUACCGCAUGGUACGGUGUGAAAAACUCCGGUGGUGUGAGAUGGAUCCGCGUCUGAUUAGCCAGUUGGCGGGGUAACGGCCCACCAAAGCGACGAUCAGUAGCCGGCCUGAGAGGGUGAACGGCCACAUUGGGACUGAGACACGGCCCAA